Molecule: ribosomal RNA, 477 nt
Filed under: uncultured bacterium
Lineage: Bacteria
Description: partial 16S ribosomal RNA
Rfam family: Bacterial small subunit ribosomal RNA
Source: RNAcentral
GAUUAACGCUGGCGGCGUGCAUAACACAUGCAAGUCGAACGAUGAAACUUUAAUGAACCCUUCGGGGAGAAUUAAAGCGGAUUAGUGGCGAACGGGUGAGUAACGCGUGAGUAACCUGCCUUACACAAGGGGAUAGCCUUUGGAAACGAAGAAUAAUACCCUAUAAAACCAUAAAAGCACAUGCAAUUAUGGUCAAAGUGAUAGCGGUGUAAGAUGGACUUGCGUCUGAUUAGCUAGUUGGUGAGAUAAAAGCCCACCAAGGCAACGAUCAGUAGCCGGCUUGAGAGAAUGUACGGCCACAUUGGGACUGAGACACGGCCCAGACUCCUACGGGAGGCAGCAGUGGGGAAUUUUGCACAAUGGGGGAAACCCUGAUGCAGCGACGCCGCGUGAUUUAGAAGGCCUUCGGGUUGUAAAAAUCUUUUGUAUAGGAAGAAAAUGACAGUACUAUACGAAUAAGGUCCGGCUAAUUACGUG